Molecule: ribosomal RNA, 495 nt
Filed under: uncultured bacterium
Lineage: Bacteria
Description: partial 16S ribosomal RNA
Rfam family: Bacterial small subunit ribosomal RNA
Source: RNAcentral
GACGAACGCUGGCGGCGUGCCUAAUACAUGCAAGUAGAACGCUGAAGGAGGAGCUUGCUCUUCUGGAUGAGUUGCGAACGGGUGAGUAACGCGUAGGUAACCUGCCUGGUAGCGGGGGAUAACUAUUGGAAACGAUAGCUAAUACCGCAUAAGAGUAGAUGUUGCAUGACAUUUGCUUAAAAGGUGCAAUUGCAUCACUACCAGAUGGACCUGCGUUGUAUUAGCUAGUUGGUGGGGUAACGGCUCACCAAGGCGACGAUACAUAGCCGACCUGAGAGGGUGAUCGGCCACACUGGGACUGAGACACGGCCCAGACUCCUACGGGAGGCAGCAGUAGGGAAUCUUCGGCAAUGGACGGAAGUCUGACCGAGCAACGCCGCGUGAGUGAAGAAGGUUGUCGGAUCGGAAAGCUCUGUUGUAAGAGAAGAACGAGUGUGAGAGUGGAAAGUUCACACUGUGACGGUAUCUUACCAGAAAGGGACGGCUAACUACGUG